CCUACGGGUGGCAGCAGUGGGGAAUAUUGCACAAUGGGCGAAAGCCUGAUGCAGCAACGCCGCGUGAAGGAAGAAGGGUUUCGGCUCGUAAACUUCUAUCAACAGGGACGAAAGAAAUGACGGUUCCUGAAUAAGCAGCCCCGGCUAACUACGUGCCAGCCGCCGCGGUACUACGUGGGGGGCCAGCGUUAUCCGGAAUUACUGGGGGGAAAGGGUGAGUAGGCGGCAUGGUAAGCCAGGAGUGAAAGCCUUGGGCUUAACCCGGGGAUUGCAUUUGGAACUAUCAAGCUAGAGUACAGGAGAGGAAAGCGGAAUUCCUAGUGUAGCGGUGAAAUGCGUAGAUAUUAGGAGGAACACCAGUGGCGAAGGCGGCUUUCUGGACUGAAACUGACGCUGAGGCACGAAAGCGUGGGGAGCGAACAGGAUUAGAUACCCUAGUAGUC
Molecule: ribosomal RNA, 443 nt
Filed under: uncultured bacterium
Lineage: Bacteria
Description: partial 16S ribosomal RNA
Rfam family: Bacterial small subunit ribosomal RNA
Source: RNAcentral